Molecule: ribosomal RNA, 489 nt
Filed under: uncultured bacterium
Lineage: Bacteria
Description: partial 16S ribosomal RNA
Rfam family: Bacterial small subunit ribosomal RNA
Source: RNAcentral
AUUGAACGCUGGCGGCAGGCCUAACACAUGCAAGUCGAACGGUAACAGGAAGCAGCUUGCUGCUUUGCUGACGAGUGGCGGACGUGUGAGUAAUGUCUGGGAAACUGCCCGAUGGAGGGGGAUAACUACUGGAAACGGUAGCUAAUACCGCAUAACGUCGCAAGACCAAAGAGGGGGACCUUAGGGCCUCUUGCCAUCGGCUGUGCCCAGAUGGGAUUAGCUAGUAGGUGGGGUAACGGCUCACCUAGGCGACGAUCCCUAGCUGGUCUGAGAGGAUGACCAGCCACACUGGAACUGAGACACGGUCCAGACUCCUACGGGAGGCAGCAGUGGGGAAUAUUGCACAAGGGGCGCAAGCCUGAUGCAGCCAUGCCGCGUGUAUGAAGAAGGCCUUCGGGUUGUAAAGUACUUUCAGCGGGGAGGAAGGGAGUAAAGUUAAUACCUUUGCUCAUGGACGUUACCCGCAGAAGAAACACCGGCUAACUCCGU